RNAcentral lists this transfer RNA (65 nucleotides) under Scyllarides latus (Mediterranean slipper lobster). Its description in RNAcentral is "tRNA-Thr". It matches the Rfam family "tRNA". Rfam says of the family: Transfer RNA (tRNA) molecules are approximately 80 nucleotides in length. Their secondary structure includes four short double-helical elements and three loops (D, anti-codon, and T loops). Lineage: Eukaryota; Metazoa; Arthropoda; Malacostraca; Decapoda; Scyllaridae. The record is from RNAcentral.
GUUUUAAUAGUUUAAAUAAAACCUCGGUCUUGUAAACCGAAAUUGAAAUAUAUUUUCUUAAAGCA